Molecule: unclassified non-coding RNA, 355 nt
Filed under: soil metagenome
Description: partial contains 5.8S ribosomal RNA, internal transcribed spacer 2, and large subunit ribosomal RNA
Rfam family: 5.8S ribosomal RNA (bases 1-120)
Source: RNAcentral
GAUGAAGAACGUAGCGAAAUGCGAUAAGUAAUGUGAAUUGCAGAAUUCAGUGAAUCAUCGAAUCUUUGAACGCACAUUGCGCCCGCCAGUAUUCUGGCGGGCAUGCCUGUCCGAGCGUCAUUUCAACUCUCGAACCCCUCCGGGGGGUCGGCGUUGGGGAUCGGCCCUGCCUCUUGGCGGUGGCCGUCUCCGAAAUACAGUGGCGGUCUCGCCGCAGCCUCUCCUGCGCAGUAGUUUGCACACUCGCAUCGGGAGCGCGGCGCGUCCACAGCCGUUAAACACCCAACUUCUGAAAUGUUGACCUCGGAUCAGGUAGGAAUACCCGCUGAACUUAAGCAUAUCAAUAAGCGGAGGA